RNAcentral lists this ribosomal RNA (433 nucleotides) under uncultured bacterium. RNAcentral describes it as "partial 16S ribosomal RNA". It matches the Rfam family "Bacterial small subunit ribosomal RNA", at positions 29 to 507 of the family's 1533-position model. The record is from RNAcentral.
AACGAACGCUGGCGGCAGGCCUAACACAUGCCAGUCGAGCGGACCCUUCGGGGUUAGCGGCGGACGGGUGAGUAACGCGUGGGAAUAUGCCCUUCUCUACGGAAUAGCCCUGGGAAACUGGGGGUAAUACCGUAUACGCCCUUUGGGGGAAAGAUUUAUCGGGGAAGGAUUAGCCCGCGUUGGAUUAGGUAGUUGGUGGGGUAAUGGCCUACCAAGCCGACGAUCCAUAGCUGGUUUGAGAGGAUGAUCAGCCACACUGGGACUGAGACACGGCCCAGACUCCUACGGGAGGCAGCAGUGGGGAAUCUUGGACAAUGGGGGCAACCCUGAUCUAGCCAUGCCGCGUGAGUGAUGAAGGCCUUAGGGUUGUAAAGCUCUUUCAGCUGGGAAGAUAAUGACGGUACCAGCAGAAGAAGCCCCGGCUAACUCCGUG